Molecule: non-coding RNA, 76 nt
Organism: Mycobacterium arupense
Lineage: Bacteria; Bacillati; Actinomycetota; Actinomycetes; Mycobacteriales; Mycobacteriaceae
Source: Rfam
GGCGGUCUUCGGUAGUGGCAGCCGGGUCUGAAAGCACGUCUUUAUCAAGAUCCGGCCGCUUCGAUCGACGACCGUA